ACGGGUGAGUAACGCGUGAGGAACCUGCCUUCAAGAGGGGGAUAACAUCGAGAAAUCGAUGCUAAUACCGCAUAAGACCACAUUGCCGCAUGGCAAAGGGGUCAAAGCUAUUGCGCUUGAAGAUGGACUCGCGUCCCAUUAGCUAGUAGGCGGGGUAACGGCCCACCUAGGCAACGAUGGGUAGCCGAGCUGAGAGGCUGAUCGGCCACACUGGGACUGAGACACGGCCCAGACUCCUACGGGAGGCAGCAGUGGGGAAUAUUGGGCAAUGGGCGCAAGCCUGACCCAGCAACGCCGCGUGGAGGAAGAAGGUUUUCGGAUUGUAAACUUCUGUCCUCAAGGACGAAAAAAAUGACGGUACUUGGGGAGGAAGCCCCGGCUAACUACGUGCCAGCAGCCGCGGUAAUACGUAGGGGGCAAGCGUUGUCCGGAAUUACUGGGCGUAAAGGGAGCGUAGGCGGUCUUUUAAGUUAGAUGUGAAAUACCCGGGCUCAACUUGGGAGGUGCAUCUAAAACUGGGAGACUUGAGUGCAGGAGAGGAAAGUGGAAUUCCUAGU
Molecule: ribosomal RNA, 557 nt
Filed under: uncultured bacterium
Lineage: Bacteria
Description: bacterial SSU rRNA
Rfam family: Bacterial small subunit ribosomal RNA
Source: RNAcentral